This 497-nucleotide ribosomal RNA is filed under the name uncultured bacterium. RNAcentral's name for it is "partial 16S ribosomal RNA". It matches the Rfam family "Bacterial small subunit ribosomal RNA", at positions 28 to 507 of the family's 1533-position model. The record is from RNAcentral.
GAUGAACGCUGGCGGCGUGCCUAAUACAUGCAAGUCGAGCGAACGGACGAGAAGCUUGCUUCUCUGAUGUUAGCGGCGGACGGGUGAGUAACACGUGGAUAACCUACCUAUAAGACUGGGAUAACUUCGGGAAACCGGAGCUAAUCCCGGAUGAUAUUUUGAACCGCAUGGUUCAAAAGUGAAAGACGGUCUUGCUGUCACUUAUAGAUGGAUCUGCGCUGCAUUAGCUAGUUGGUAAGGUAACGGCUUACCAAGGCAACGAUGCAUAGCCGACCUGAGAGGGUGAUCGGCCGCACUGGAACUGAGACACGGUCCAGACUCCUACGGGAGGCAGCAGUAGGGAAUCUUCCGCAAUGGGCGAAAGCCUGACGGAGCAACGCCGCGUGAGUGAUGAAGGUCUUCGGAUCGUAAAACUCUGUUAUUAGGGAAGAACAUAUGUGUAAGUAACUGUGCACAUCUUGACGGUACCUAAUCAGAAAGCCACGGCUAACUACGUG